This 334-nucleotide unclassified non-coding RNA is filed under the name soil metagenome. Its description in RNAcentral is "partial contains 5.8S ribosomal RNA, internal transcribed spacer 2, and large subunit ribosomal RNA". The stretch from base 1 to 120 matches the Rfam family "5.8S ribosomal RNA", at positions 35 to 154 of the family's 154-position model. The record is from RNAcentral.
GAUGAAGAACGUAGCGAAAUGCGAUAAGUAAUGUGAAUUGCAGAAUUCAGUGAAUCAUCGAAUCUUUGAACGCACAUUGCGCCCGCCAGUAUUCUGGCGGGCAUGCCUGUUCGAGCGUCAUUUCAACCAUCAAGCCCCAGGCUUGUGUUGGGGACCUGCGGCUGCCGCAGGCCCUGAAAACCAGUGGCGGGCUCGCUGUCACACCGGGCGUAGUAGAUUUUAUCUCGCUCAGGGCGUGCUGCGGGUUCCGGCCGUUAAAAAGCCUUUUUUACCCAAGGUUGACCUCGGAUCAGGUAGGAAGACCCGCUGAACUUAAGCAUAUCAAUAAGGAGGA